UUAGAAGCCGAAAGGCUACUUAAAACCAUCGCGAACUCGUCCAAGGUUGCUUCGGCGGCGCGGCCCUCCCUCACGGGGGCGCCGCAGCCCCGCCUCUCCGGAGGUGUGGGGCGCCCGCCGGAGGUACGAAACUCUGUAUUAUAGUGGCAUCUCUGAGUAAAAAACAAAUAAGUUA
RNAcentral lists this unclassified non-coding RNA (175 nucleotides) under soil metagenome. RNAcentral's name for it is "partial internal transcribed spacer 1". The record is from RNAcentral.